Molecule: ribosomal RNA, 32 nt
Filed under: Fusarium verticillioides
Lineage: Eukaryota; Fungi; Ascomycota; Sordariomycetes; Hypocreales; Nectriaceae
Description: partial 18S ribosomal RNA
Source: RNAcentral
GUCUCCGUUGGUGACCAGCGGAGGGAUCAUUU